CUAAACACAAGGCAGCAGUGGCACAGUCCGCUCAGAACCUGGCCCAGAUCAGUGACCUACAAGCCCAGCUGGAGGAGGCCCUCAAGGAGAAGCAGGAUGUUCAGGAGAAGAUUCAAGCCCUUCAGAGCCAGCUGGACUUCCAGGAACAGUCCAUGGUGGAGAAGUCC
Molecule: long non-coding RNA, 167 nt
Organism: Sphaeramia orbicularis (orbiculate cardinalfish)
Lineage: Eukaryota; Metazoa; Chordata; Actinopteri; Kurtiformes; Apogonidae
Exons: 3
Source: RefSeq, a predicted model, not a curated record